RNAcentral lists this small RNA (108 nucleotides) under Marmota monax (woodchuck). Lineage: Eukaryota; Metazoa; Chordata; Mammalia; Rodentia; Sciuridae. The record is from RNAcentral.
UCUGGGCGAGGUGGCGCAUGCCUGUAAUUCCCAGCAGCUUGGGAAGCUGAGGCAGGAGGAUCUCAAGUUCAAAGCCAACCUCAGCAACUUUGUGAGUCCCUGUCUCUA